UUGCUUUGUCAGCACUUUUACUAAAAUUGAAAUAAUACUGAGAUUAGCAUAGCCCUGUACAAGAAUGACAUAUAUGUUUGUAAAGCAGUCCAUAUUUUC
RNAcentral lists this small nuclear RNA (99 nucleotides) under Microtus ochrogaster (prairie vole). The record is from RNAcentral. Lineage: Eukaryota; Metazoa; Chordata; Mammalia; Rodentia; Cricetidae.